GGGAUGAAGCAGAUGAGUUUGUGGAAAUUGGUGCUCUGAAUGGCAUCUUUGUCUUGGGUCGCAGUAUGGGAUUCAUUGGUGAGUUAUCUGCGUGCAUGGCAAUGUCUGCAAGACAGCAAACACUUCUACUUUGUAUGAUAACCAGUCUUUCUUUUAUAUAUCUCCUUAAGGACACUACCUGGAUCAGAAGAGGCUGAAACAGGGUCUGUAUCGCCACCCUUGGGAUGACAUCUCCUAUGUACUCCCAGAGCACAUGUCUAUGUAAUCAGAGGGACUAAACCAUAUAGCAGCAGCAGCUGUUUGGUCCCUCACCCUGCCAUUAGUACCCCUGCACAUACUGUGACAUCAUCUCAAAUCAGUGCCAUAACAUAGGGAAGAUGUUACGAUUAAUAUAGCUGUAAAUGCCAAGUGGUGGAAAGAAUUUAGUUCUGGAAACCUGUCAGCGCUGCGCACAUGAUUAAUAUAUAACCUGCUAAACUGUGAACCUUCCAUCUUAAAAUGUGUUUUGGAGAGCAAUCGGAUGAGGUAUACAGUGGAGGAAGUAAACAGAAAGUUACUGAUGACUAGAGAAGUACUGUUGUUUACCCCCAAAUAAUACAUCAAUAUAUUAAAGUAGCAUGUGUGUCUGUGCGACAGUGUUUCAUGUUUCUGUGCUGCUCUCUUCACUGUGCCAUUUACUACAAGAAGUGAACAUGUAGUGCAAUAAUUCCUAUAUAAUAUCAGAACAUACUGUACAUCAGAUCUGUAUUUGUGUACAUAUGAAUUAAUACUUAACUAACCAAAUGGUACAAGAAUGUUAUAAUUUGCAUUUUCUGUAUUGCCUUUGACACAGUAGUAAUGAGUGAUGCUUGUAGUCUGCUUACUGUGGGUGAUGGGACCAUUUUUAUGAGUCAUACCUAGCAGGUACUGCCAUUUGCAGUGUGCAGGAAAUGUUCUCUCCCAGCUGGUACAAUAUGAGGGAGUAUUUUUUGAAAGCAUUAAAAUGGUCAGAUAAUGUUAUUAGUCAUAAGAACAACAAAUAUGUAAUUAGUGGGGGGUUUUUUUUGUUUUUUUUGUUUUUCCUCUUACCUGGUUAUUUAAGAGGCUGCCAUUGCAUAUGAUAAAUGAGACACAGUUAGUAACAAAAAGCUAAAUUAUUAAUAAAAAUAUCUUUGAGCCAGCACAAUUGGGGUUAAAUAAAAUGUAUUAUUUUUGUAUAAUUAAUGAGGUAUGGUUUUUAUUCAUUCUGAUUUUUAAUUCUUCUGAGUGCAGUUUUGAAGGUUGUUUCAUGCCUGGUGUGAAAAUCUUUUCAGAAUGACUGAACUUCUUUAGAAAAAAAAAAAACAAGGUCCAAAAGGGUAUCUAUAUGUGGCAGGCAUCGCCAGUGUUAUCCAUUAUGCAGUUGUGGUUAAAAAGUGUAUCAAAUCUGUGAGAAACCAGAAACGUGUUUUCAGUGUCUUCAUGUUUUAUGUUUUUUAUCUUUGAGUGUGAGCUAAGUGUUCCUGUGUACUGAUUUGUUGUAUGUUGAUAACGGUAUAAUUAAGUACAUUAAAAUGUAAUCAUUAAAAUGUAUCAAUGCA
Long non-coding RNA from Astatotilapia calliptera (eastern happy), 1559 nucleotides. The record is from Ensembl. Lineage: Eukaryota; Metazoa; Chordata; Actinopteri; Cichliformes; Cichlidae.